Molecule: long non-coding RNA, 310 nt
Filed under: Phoenix dactylifera (date palm)
Lineage: Eukaryota; Viridiplantae; Streptophyta; Magnoliopsida; Arecales; Arecaceae
Description: long non-coding RNA (PDAC_LNC007413)
Source: RNAcentral
GAUGGGACUUUCGAAAAUAUUUGAAAUGGAGACCCGAGUAGGUUGAUUGGAGCAUGUCCCGAGCUGAUAGGUGGCACAAUUAACUCGGAUAGCUAUAGCAUCACUUUGAUUUGGGCAGCAUGUACGUAUAUAAAAGUCGUUUAGUUCUCCCCAUAUUCCCAUUUCCAUUCAUCCGAGAUUGGUCGUGGUGCUGCUCUGCCCUCAUUUUUAUGAUUCCUUUAGCGAGAUUUCAUGGUGAAACACCCCAUUUCAAGGCAUGGUGGCAUCUUUUGCAUCUCCGUCGACCCAUUCCUGAUGAUGCUUAUGCUCU